RNAcentral lists this ribosomal RNA (497 nucleotides) under uncultured bacterium. RNAcentral describes it as "partial 16S ribosomal RNA". It matches the Rfam family "Bacterial small subunit ribosomal RNA", at positions 28 to 507 of the family's 1533-position model. The record is from RNAcentral.
GAUGAACGCUGGCGGCGUGCCUAAUACAUGCAAGUCGAGCGAACAGACGAGGAGCUUGCUCCUCUAACGUUAGCGGCGGAGGGGUGAGUAACACGUGGAUAACCUACCUAUAAGACUGGGAUAACUUCGGGAAACCGGAGCUAAUACCGGAUAAUCUAUUGAACCGCAUGGUUCAAUAGUGAAAGACGGUUUUGCUGUCACUUAUAGAUGGAUCCGCGCCGCAUUAGCUAGUUGGUAAGGUAACAGCUUACCAAGGCAACGAUGCGUAGCCGACCUGAGAGGGUGAUCGGCCACACGGGAGCUGAGACACGGUCCAGACUCCUACGGGAGGCAGCAGUAGGGAAUCUUCCGCAGAGGGCGAAAGCCUGACGGAGCAACGCAGCGUGAGUGAUGAAGGUCUUCGGAUCGUAAAACUCUGUUAUUAGGGAAGAACAAAUGUGUAAGUAACUAUGCACGUCUUGACGGUACCUAAUCAGAAAGCCACGGCUAACUACGUG